GGCCUGGUAACUCAGUUGGCUAGAGCGUUGGCUGUACUAAAGCCUUCCCCUUGCCAGUGUGGGUUCGAAUCCCACCGAGGCCA
This 83-nucleotide transfer RNA is filed under the name Schistocephalus solidus. It matches the Rfam family "tRNA". Rfam says of the family: Transfer RNA (tRNA) molecules are approximately 80 nucleotides in length. Their secondary structure includes four short double-helical elements and three loops (D, anti-codon, and T loops). Further hydrogen bonds mediate the characteristic L-shaped molecular structure. tRNAs have two regions of fundamental functional importance: the anti-codon, which is responsible for specific mRNA codon recognition, and the 3' end, to which the tRNAs corresponding amino acid is attached (by aminoacyl-tRNA synthetases). tRNAs cope with the degeneracy of the genetic code in two manners: having more than one tRNA (with a specific anti-codon) for a particular amino acid; and 'wobble' base-pairing, i.e. permitting non-standard base-pairing at the 3rd anti-codon position. The record is from Rfam by way of RNAcentral. Lineage: Eukaryota; Metazoa; Platyhelminthes; Cestoda; Diphyllobothriidea; Diphyllobothriidae.